RNAcentral lists this ribosomal RNA (326 nucleotides) under uncultured eukaryote. Its description in RNAcentral is "partial 18S ribosomal RNA". It matches the Rfam family "Eukaryotic small subunit ribosomal RNA", at positions 1470 to 1796 of the family's 1831-position model. The record is from RNAcentral.
CCCUUAGAUGUUCUGGGCCGCACGCGCGCUACACUGAUGCAUUCAACGAGCCUAGCCUUGACCGAGAGGUCCGGGUAAUCUUUGAAACUACAUCGUGAUGGGGCUAGAUUAUUGCAAUUAUUAAUCUUCAACGAGGAAUGCCUAGUAAGCGUGAUUCAUCAAAUCGCGUUGAUUACGUCCCUGCCCUUUGUACACACCGCCCGUCGCUCCUACCGAUUGAGUGUGUUGGUGAGGAGUUUGGAUUGGCCUCGGAAGGUGGUUCGCCACCGUCCGUAGCUGAGAAGUUCUCCAAACCGCCCCACUUAGAGGAAGGAGAAGUCGUAACA